Pelobates cultripes (western spadefoot toad) is the source of this 616-nucleotide non-coding RNA. Lineage: Eukaryota; Metazoa; Chordata; Amphibia; Anura; Pelobatidae. The record is from the annotation of a GenBank genome assembly.
GGAAGAGGCAUGGGCUAUUCAGGGCUCAUGGAGGCAGAGGAGAGGCAUGCUCACUCCUAUCAUCCGCAGCCAGGACCAGAAUCCCAACCAAGCCACCGGCCUGGACACAAAGGUAAGCUAACAGGAAGGUGGCUGCAAAUAUAUAAUGUGUGAUGUGUGUGUCAGUUUGUGUGUAUCUGAGUUUUUGUCAAUGUAUGUAUCUGUGUGUCAGUGUGUAUCUGGCUGUAUGUGUCAGUGGGUGUAUCUAAGUGUAUGGCACAGUAGCUCGUAAAACCACCUCCCUGAAAAGCAUUUUUGCAUGUUGGGAUGUCUAAAGAUAAAAAACACUAGUGCUCGCAUACAUUAAUGUUCAUGAAGAAAAGCAGAUGGGCAGAUUUUAUAGUGAUCAAAAGGCUUUAUUUAGCAUAUCUAUCAAGUACCCAUUUUAUGGACAGUGUCUCUUUAGGAUCCAAAUCUUUCACUUCCUCAUUUCCCAGGAAUCUAAAGUUCAGUGUAAACCAAGCAUGUGAAACUCAAAGAGUAACACGGGCCAAGUAAAGUUUAAUAUGUUAAAAGUAUGGAGCUUAGAAGGAAGGUUAACAAGAAUACCAACCACCUAAAAAUCCCAAAAGUGGAG